UGCAGUCGAGGGGUAACAGGAAUAGCUUGCUAUUUGCUGACGACCGGCGCACGGGUGCGGAACGCGUAUGGAACCUGCCCCUGUCAGGGGAAUAGCCCAGAGAAAUUUGGAUUAAUGCCCCAUGGUAUCGAAUCACUGCAUGGUGAUUUGAUUAAAGAUUUAUCGGACAGGGAUGGCCAUGCGUACCAUUAGCUUGUUGGUGAGGUAACGGCUCACCAAGGCAACGAUGGUUAGGGGCCCUGAGAGGGGGAUCCCCCACACUGGUACUGAGACACGGACCAGACUCCUACGGGAGGCAGCAGUGAGGAAUAUUGGACAAUGGCCGAAAGGUUGAUCCAGCCAUGCCGCGUGCAGGAUGACGGCCCUAUGGGUUGUAAACUGCUUUUACACGGGAAGAAACCUCCCCUCGUGAGGGGAGCUGACGGUACCGUGAGAAUAAGGACCGGCUAACUCCGUGCCAGCAGCCGCGGUAAUACGGAGGGUCCGAGCGUUAUCCGGAAUCAUUGGGUUUAAAGGGUCCGUAGGCGGGCCUAUAAGUCAGGGGUGAAAGGCCACGGCUCAACCGUGGGACUGCCCUUGAUACUGUAGGUCUUGAGUUAUAGUGGGGUUGCCGGAACAUGUGGUGUAGCGGUGAAAUGCAUAGAUAUCACAUAGAACACCGAUCGCGAAGGCAGGUGACCAACUAUAUACUGACGCUGAUGGACGAAAGCGUGGGUAGCGAACGGGAUUAGAUACCCCCGGUAGUCCACGCCGUAAACGAUGGAUACUAGCUGUCGGGACCUCGGUCUCGGCGGCCAAGCGAAAGUGAUAAGUAUCCCACCUGGGGAGUACGUUCGCAAGAAUGAAACUCAAAGGAAUUGACGGGGGCCCGCACAAGCGGUGGA
Molecule: ribosomal RNA, 884 nt
Filed under: Flavobacteriaceae bacterium GUDS975
Lineage: Bacteria; Pseudomonadati; Bacteroidota; Flavobacteriia; Flavobacteriales; Flavobacteriaceae
Description: bacterial SSU rRNA
Rfam family: Bacterial small subunit ribosomal RNA
Source: RNAcentral